Apodemus sylvaticus (European woodmouse) is the source of this 351-nucleotide long non-coding RNA. RefSeq lists it as uncharacterized. The record is from RefSeq and is a predicted model, not a curated record. The transcript is spliced from 3 exons. Lineage: Eukaryota; Metazoa; Chordata; Mammalia; Rodentia; Muridae.
CGCCCGAGACCUGCUUGUGCCCACAAGACGCGUAGCAGUAGACACCUAGAAGUGUGAUUGCUGCCAUGCCAUGCCAUGUGGCACCAGGAGAGGAGGUCACCCAAAGGCCUGCCAGUUACUGCCUGCCGUGGGAACCAGCACAAUGUGCAAGGAAGAGAAAGUCAGAGCUAAGCCCAACGUUUAGACAUCCUGCUAACAGUCUGCUGGUGAACGGUCUCCCUGGAAGAGGCUAAGGUUAUUGGCACAGACAGAUGAUCUGUGAUGUCUCAGCUGCCUGCUCCAGCCGCCUGCCGACAUGCCUGUCCCACCAUUAUGGACUCUCCGUGUGGACCCCUAAGCCCAAAUAAACUC